UCUCGGCAAAUUAUCCUCAUAAGUUAGACAACAAGAGGAGUCAUAGUUUGAAAUAACCAAAUUCUAUUAGUAAUUAUAAAACUAAGUUAUUUUCUUAUAGUGAUGGCACAAAAUCGGAAGCCCCGACUGUUUACUAAAAACACAACUAUCUGCAAUGAUGUAAAUCAUAGUAUAGGUAGUGAGGUUUGCCCGAUGCCAUUAAUAUAAAAGAGGUAAUAGGUCACUGUUACUAAUUGAAAGUCUGGUUAAUAGCGGUCUUAACUAUGAGGAUCCAAAGGUAGCAAAAUAAAUUGGCCAUUAAAUGUGGUCCGGUAUCAAUAAUUUAACGAUGGCUUCACUGUCUCUACAACUUGCUCAGUGAAAUUGAAUUACCCGUGCAGAUGCGGGUUACCUCCAGGGGGACGGGAAGACCCUAUGCAGCUUCUAC
This 427-nucleotide ribosomal RNA is filed under the name Pseudomerulius aureus. Its description in RNAcentral is "LSU rRNA". It matches the Rfam family "Bacterial large subunit ribosomal RNA", at positions 1712 to 2104 of the family's 2925-position model. The record is from RNAcentral. Lineage: Eukaryota; Fungi; Basidiomycota; Agaricomycetes; Boletales; Tapinellaceae.